GGUGUGGUAUGGAUGAUUUCAUACAUGAAGAAUAUUGGCGGUCACGACCCAAAGGACAACAUUAACCGAUGUCUAUCCCGUGUUUUUACUAACAAUUUAGGGGUACAGUGCUCCUGGAUGGGCCACAGAGGCAAUUUCAAGGUUCAAAACCUCACGAUCAUGAACGCUAUUAUUGAAGUGGUAAUGCUGCGCUACAAUAGCUUAAUUCAACUCAGCGAUCUUGAGCGAAAUGUGGGAGAAUGGUUUCGUCUUAGCAAACAAAGACUGCAGCGAGGCAAGGAAAAGGAUAAGGAAAAUGUCAACAAUUCGUAGUAUACGUUUGUCCUGAAGCAAUAUUUAAGAAUUCAUUUUAUUUAUUUUCCUGUUGAUUGUUGUUUUUUAUAAAUUGUA
Long non-coding RNA from Photinus pyralis (common eastern firefly), 390 nucleotides. RefSeq lists it as uncharacterized. The record is from RefSeq and is a predicted model, not a curated record. The transcript is spliced from 3 exons. NCBI's taxonomy places the organism in Eukaryota, Metazoa, Arthropoda, Insecta, Coleoptera, Lampyridae.